This is a long non-coding RNA of Protopterus annectens (West African lungfish), 877 nucleotides long. RefSeq lists it as uncharacterized. The transcript is spliced from 4 exons. The record is from RefSeq and is a predicted model, not a curated record. Lineage: Eukaryota; Metazoa; Chordata; Ceratodontiformes; Protopteridae.
CCUGGUGUUUUUACCCAGACUGCUGCAACUUUCUUAUUGUGGAUAUGCACAUGAUUUAACUGUUACAAUCCUCAAUCUGUGUUUUCUAUGUAAUGAGCAUUGCCUAAUUGCAUAUUUUCUUGUAUUGUAAUGUGGUAUGACAUAGAGCAGUGGAUUAGUCUACUGUAUCUGUGUGUCUGGUUACAGCUUUAGUUUGUCAGUAUUGUAUUUUACUUACUUGUUGUUAUUAUCUCCCCCUUUCUUUUUCUCCUGCUCUAGCUAACUCUCCUGCCUAACCCAGCAUCUGUUUGCCUGGGCUGAACUUCCUCUCCACUAUAUGAGGGUACUUUCUGCAUACAACCCUUGAAAGCUCUGGACCCUGCACUCUUCUACAAACUCACUACCUAAAGCUCUAAGAGACUAACUCUCCUGCCUAACCCAGCGUCUGUUUGCCUGGGCUGAACUUCCUCUCCACUAUAUGAGGGUACUUUCUGCAUACAACCCUUGAAAGCUCUGGACCCUGCACUCUUCUACAAACUCACUACCUAAAGCUCUAAGAGACUAACUCUCCUGCCUAACCCAGCGUCUGUUUGCCUGGGCUGAACUUCCUCUCCACUAUAUGAGGGUACUUUCUGCAUACAACCCUUGAAAGCUCUGGACCCUGCACUCUUCUACAAACUCACUACCUAAAGCUCUAAGAGACUAACUCUCCUGCCUAACCCAGCGUCUGUUUGCCUGGGCUGAACUUCCUCUCCACUAUAUGAGGGUACUUUCUGCAUACAACCCUUGAAAGCUCUGGACCCUGCACUCUUCUACAAACUCACUACCUAAAGCUCUAAGAGAGUAUGUUUAAUUAAUUUGUUUAUGGUCUCUUCCUAAUUUUUAUCUUGUGCUGUUU